This 442-nucleotide ribosomal RNA is filed under the name uncultured Bacillota bacterium. RNAcentral's name for it is "bacterial SSU rRNA". It matches the Rfam family "Bacterial small subunit ribosomal RNA", at positions 920 to 1359 of the family's 1533-position model. The record is from RNAcentral. Lineage: Bacteria; Bacillati; Bacillota.
GACCCCGCACAAGCAGCGGAGCAUGUGGUUUAAUUCGACGCAACGCGAAGAACCUUACCAGGUCUUGACAUCGAUGGAACCAAAAGAGAUUUUGGGUGCCCGCAAGGGAGCCAGAAGACAGGUGGUGCAUGGUUGUCGUCAGCUCGUGUCGUGAGAUGUUGGGUUAAGUCCCGCAACGAGCGCAACCCUUGCCGUCAGUUACUAACAGGUAAAGCUGAGGACUCUGACAGGACUGCCGUGGACAACACGGAGGAAGGUGGGGAUGACGUCAAAUCAUCAUGCCCCUUAUGACCUGGGCUACACACGUGCUACAAUGGCCGUAACAAAGAGAAACGAAGUCGCAAGGCAGAGUGGAUCUACAAAAACGGUCUCAGUUCAGAUUGUGGGCUGCAACCCGCCCACAUGAAGUCGGAGUUGCUAGUAAUCGCGAAUCAGCAUGUCG